UACGGAGGGUGCAAGCGUUGUUCGGCAUUACUGGGCGUAAAGGGCGCGUAGGCGGUAUAAUAAGUUAGGUGUGAAAUCUUCGGGCUUAACCCGGAAAGUGCACUUAAAACUGUUAUACUAGAGUUCGGGAGGGGAAAGCGGAAUUCCUAGUGUAGAGGUGAAAUUUGUAGAUAUUAGGAAGAACACCGGUGGCGAAGGCGGCUUUCUGGAACGAUACUGACGCUGAGGCGCGAAAGCGUGGGGAGCAAACAGG
RNAcentral lists this ribosomal RNA (253 nucleotides) under uncultured bacterium. RNAcentral's name for it is "partial 16S ribosomal RNA". It matches the Rfam family "Bacterial small subunit ribosomal RNA", at positions 524 to 776 of the family's 1533-position model. The record is from RNAcentral.